This 26-nucleotide non-coding RNA is filed under the name Cricetulus griseus (Chinese hamster). Lineage: Eukaryota; Metazoa; Chordata; Mammalia; Rodentia; Cricetidae. The record is from RNAcentral.
AUGAAAAGAUUGACUUGACCCUGCUU